GAUGAACGCUGGCGGCGUGCCUAACACAUGCAAGUCGAACGAAGCACCUCUCCCGAUGCUUGACACAGCUUGCUGUAGAUUGAUUCAUUUGAGGUUACUGAGUGGCCGACGGGUGAGUAACGCGCGGGUAACCUGCCUCAUAGAGGGGGACAACAGUUGUAAACGACUGCUAAUACCGCAUAGUAAGAAGAAUUCGCAUGUUUUCUUCUUGAAAGACUUAUCGUUAUGAGAUGGACCGGCGUCUGAUUAGCUAGUUAGUCAGGUAACGGCUUACCAAGGCGGCGAUCGGUAGCCGGGUAGAGGAGGUACGCGCCAGCAUUGGAAGGGAGGCACGGGCCGAACACCUACGGGAAGCAGCGGUGGGGAAUAUUGGCAAAGGGGGGAGAGUCAGGUAGGGCGACGGCGCGUGAAUGAAGAAGUAUUUCGGUAAGUAAAGGUCUAACAGCAGGGGCACAAAUGGCGGGACCUUACUAAGAAAGCCCGGCUAACUUCGUG
This 495-nucleotide ribosomal RNA is filed under the name uncultured bacterium. RNAcentral describes it as "partial 16S ribosomal RNA". It matches the Rfam family "Bacterial small subunit ribosomal RNA", at positions 28 to 507 of the family's 1533-position model. The record is from RNAcentral.